CCUGCCCAGUGAACUAAUUUAACGGCCGCGGUAUCUUGACCGUGCAAAGGUAGCAUAAUCAAUUGUUCUUUAAAUAAGGACUAGUAUGAACGGCACCACGAGGGUUUAACUGUCUCCCUAUUUUAAUCAAUGAAAUUGAUCUCCCCGUGAAGAAGCGGGGAUACAACUAUAAGACGAAAAGACCCCAUGGAGCUUUAAACUUAUUUUCAAUUACCAAAGCCCAAAACAUAUACCCGGUAAAAAUGAUAAUCGUUUUCGGUUGGGGCGACCCUGGAGAAAAAUAAAUCCUCCAAGCUGAAUAGACUAAAAAAAUCUAAUAUUAGAGCAACAACUCAAAUAAUCAAAACCUUGACAAAAUGACCCAGAAUUCAUCUGAUCAACGAACCAAGUUACCCUGGGGAUAACAGCGCAAUCCAUUUCAAGAGCCCUUAUCGACAAAUGGGUUUACGACCUCGAUGUUGGAUCGGGAUAUCCUAGCAG
This 480-nucleotide ribosomal RNA is filed under the name Hyperolius dintelmanni. RNAcentral's name for it is "partial 16S ribosomal RNA". It matches the Rfam family "Bacterial large subunit ribosomal RNA", at positions 1858 to 2553 of the family's 2925-position model. The record is from RNAcentral. Lineage: Eukaryota; Metazoa; Chordata; Amphibia; Anura; Hyperoliidae.